Molecule: transfer RNA, 65 nt
Filed under: Cephalopina titillator
Lineage: Eukaryota; Metazoa; Arthropoda; Insecta; Diptera; Oestridae
Description: tRNA-Phe
Source: RNAcentral
AUUCAAAUAGCUUAUAUAAGAGUAUAAUAUUGAAGAUAUUAGGGAGAUGUUUAUAUCUUUGGAUA